UAUAUAAUAGGUGCGAAGAGU
This 21-nucleotide non-coding RNA is filed under the name Arabidopsis thaliana (thale cress). Lineage: Eukaryota; Viridiplantae; Streptophyta; Magnoliopsida; Brassicales; Brassicaceae. The record is from RNAcentral.